RNAcentral lists this unclassified non-coding RNA (277 nucleotides) under Hevea brasiliensis (rubber tree). Lineage: Eukaryota; Viridiplantae; Streptophyta; Magnoliopsida; Malpighiales; Euphorbiaceae. The record is from RNAcentral.
AAUAUCAAACUCACCCCACAAGUGAAGAAGGAACAUAUUAAUAUUGUCACGCCAAGUGUGAAAUUAAAAUAAGUUAAAUCAAGUUAUUCAAAUAGUUUAUGGCAAACACAAUCAAUUUUCAAAAUCAAAUUUCCAUUCACAAGUAGCAACAUAGUAGUUCUCAAAACCCAUAAUUAAUACAAUAAUUUCACAAUGCAUAACUAAACAAAUUUUCUAUGAGAAAACGAUAAAUUAAGGUUUAUUGUGCACAAACCUGACGUGAGUCGCCUCUAGGCCU